Molecule: ribosomal RNA, 168 nt
Filed under: Enterococcus faecalis
Lineage: Bacteria; Bacillati; Bacillota; Bacilli; Lactobacillales; Enterococcaceae
Description: partial 23S ribosomal RNA
Rfam family: Bacterial large subunit ribosomal RNA
Source: RNAcentral
GGUUAAGUGAAUAAGGGCGCACGGUGGAUGCCUUGGCACUAGGAGCCGAUGAAGGACGGGACUAACACCGAUAUGCUUUGGGGAGCUGUAAGUAAGCUAUGAUCCAGAGAUUUCCGAAUGGGGGAACCCAAUAUCUUUUAUAGGAUAUUACUUUUCAGUGAAUACAUA